CGGGUUGUGCACUUGUGGUGGCCUCUACUGCUUUGCAAAGCCAUUGCCAUGGGUUGAACCCUACCACACACACAAGUGUAAGUCCGUUAUCACUCGCCUUGGGUCAUACUAGAAGCACCCAAGACUAGGACCUCGUACUCUCACCACAUGACUAAUUCUUCUCUAAGUGAGAUUGAAAGAGUCAUUAGAGUGUUAGGAUAACCCCCAAGACUGAGCUACCUAUAUUCAUUCUAAAACACUAGAAUCUCACCGAGAGAUUUUAUAAUUAAACCACCAUAAGCAACCUUGAAAUCAUACUUCUUUACUUUUGAACUCCCAUACUUUGGAUCAUGAUCAACAUAAUUUGUAGCGAUGAACAAAAAUACGGUAGUCAUAACAUAAUUUACAUUCAGUCAUAUUAAUUUAUAAUACUUCACCUAAUGCAAUCCAACGCAUAUCUCAUUCUUUAUUUCAAACAACUAACUAAUCAAACUUAAUAUAUUUUACAACCCAAAGAAUUAAUCAAACUAAACAUCCAUUCCAAAUUUCCAAUUUACUCUUCUGAAAAACACCUUAUUAUACUAAAAUGACAAAGUGUUUUAGUGCAUAAUUUUAACUCAAACAUCAAGCAUUGGAUGCAGUAUUGUAAUUAAAAAAAAACAAAUAGCAAACAGUAAU
This 657-nucleotide long non-coding RNA is filed under the name Vigna radiata. Its description in RNAcentral is "long non-coding RNA (VRAD_LNC005427)". The record is from RNAcentral. Lineage: Eukaryota; Viridiplantae; Streptophyta; Magnoliopsida; Fabales; Fabaceae.